UACAGAGGUGGCAAGCGUUGUUCGGAUUUACUGGGCGUAAAGGGCGCGCAGGCGGCGCAUUUUGUCAGGCGUGAAAGCCCCGGGCUUAACCUGGGAACUGCGUUUGAUACGGAUGGGCUAGAGUUCGGGAGAGGAGAGUGGAAUUCCCAGUGUAGAGGUGAAAUUCGUAGAUAUUGGGAAGAACACCGGUGGCGAAGGCGGCUCUCUGGACCGAGACUGACGCUGAGGCGCGAAAGCGUGGGGAGCAAACAGG
Molecule: ribosomal RNA, 253 nt
Filed under: uncultured bacterium
Lineage: Bacteria
Description: partial 16S ribosomal RNA
Rfam family: Bacterial small subunit ribosomal RNA
Source: RNAcentral